UCUCAAAAGAAAACGAACUCUUCUCAAAUAUUCUCUCUCUAAAACUUGAAGAAGCAGAAGAAGAUUUCACAUAGAGUUUCAAGAUAAGGAUAAAAAAAUUUCAUUGAAGCUUAUCAUUUGGGAUUUGUUAUUAAGGGUCCGGCGGAAAGGGUUUUCAGUCUAGUGGCUAGAGCUUGUACUUUGGUUUAUAUUUGAGCUAGGGUUCUGGUGUCUAUCCCUUCACAUUUUUGGAGCUGGUUAUCUUGUCCGUGAAGUAAUUUUCUUGAGGCCCCCAUUGGUAGAGACUCGACUGCAUUUGCAACGGUCAAGCUAUUGAACUCCACAUUUGUGGUAGAUCUUUAGUGUUCGUAGAAGGACAUGGCAUUAGAUCUCGUUGUCAGAAGUUUGGGUACGUAUUCUUGAAGGACCCCUGACAGUGUUUUGAUCUAAAUUCAGGGUUUCUUCUCCAUUUGUCCUUUUUGGAUCUUUGAGAACUUGGUGGAGUAGAUUUCAAGAGGGGUUUUCAAGAUUAAAAUAGUUAGUACUUGUGUAGGUUUCAAGCCCAGACUAGUGUGAUCUCCACUUUCUAGUUCUUCUUCUUUUGAGGUGUGUCAAUGAUUUUGAGAGGUAGCUACUUGUUAUUGCAGAGGGUCCUCUUGUUACUUUACUGUACAUUUUGUUCUACUUAAUAAACAAAAACGUUGGAAAUCGUAUUUAUCUUU
Molecule: long non-coding RNA, 701 nt
Organism: Solanum lycopersicum (tomato)
Lineage: Eukaryota; Viridiplantae; Streptophyta; Magnoliopsida; Solanales; Solanaceae
Source: RefSeq, a predicted model, not a curated record